Molecule: long non-coding RNA, 1497 nt
Organism: Triplophysa dalaica
Lineage: Eukaryota; Metazoa; Chordata; Actinopteri; Cypriniformes; Nemacheilidae
Exons: 4
Source: RefSeq, a predicted model, not a curated record
UGGACUAAAUGACAAUUUAUUUUGAAGAGCUAUAAAUUAGAAAAAAUAUUUUAAAAUUUCCUACUGUUAUUAUAAUAAAAAUUGUUUACAAGAGUGUCCCAGUAUGUCCCAAACAAACAUACUACCUGUCCCACAUUUCGUUUGUUGGGUGGUGGUCACCCUAACACUGUUAUUCAUCACAUAUUCAAAGCAUUGCUUUCAGAACUUAAACUCAGUCGUAUAUUUUCUAUUUUUCACUUUUUAUAACUGUUGAUUAUUUUUAUUUUACAUUCUUUGAGGGGCUUUAAUCUGAUGUUUUUCAUUUUAUCAUUAUUGCAUUUAAAAAAAGUCUAUCCUAAACUGAUUUAACAAAUCUGACAUGUUCUUAAAUCAAUCCAUGAAUCAAUAAAGUUAUUAUGCAAAGUGUCUAAAAUCAAUAGUCAAAUAAUUUAAGUAAAUAAAAACCCAAUGGAGCCCCAUCCAUUUAUUUAACAGUUUGGAAACUUGCAUGUUUAGUCUCUUGUGGUGCAGAGAGAGUCUUUUGUAUUACUGCUGGGGUUGAGCUGUGCAUGACUGUCACACGCUAUACAGAACGUUUUAAAUGAAAGCUCAUGAAGAGAUUAAGUAUGACAGUUCAAAGAUUCGGACUUGACCUUAUGUAAACAGUGCUAAGGAAUUAUGCAAUGGGGUUUGUGAAGCCCUGCAGCUCUGAUGAUAAAGCUGACCAUGCUUAAAACCUGAAUCUGUUAGAAUGUGCUAGAACUGAAACAUUCAUGAAUUUGAUGUUUCAUCCAUUCACAAAAUGUUUAAAAUGCUAGACUGACUGUUUUAUUAAAGGGGUCAUAUCAUCUUUUGAGAUAAAUGAAUUUAUAGUAUGAUGGAAGCAAGCAUCCUUUCAAAAUGAUUAAAGCUGAGCUGCAAAAACAAUAUAAUCAUAUUAAGAUUCAUAAUGCAUAAUAUGAACCCUUUCAAAUAAACUCAUUAAAGCUCAUGGUCAUCUCAAGUUAUGAUCACUGUUGUUGACAGUUUUGUUUUUGAAUUCCCAGAUCGUACCGGCUACGGCACACAAUAUCCCUAUUAAUCAUCUGAGGGCCAGAUUUGGAAUAUCAUUUCAUGCAGAGUGGAUUAAAUGAAAUAAUCUUUCCCCCCCAACCUCCGGGAUGGAGAGAAGCUGACGGAUGGAAGCCUCGUUCUCACAGUGGUCUCCAUGGCAACGGGAAUAACAGAAAACAGAUUGGGAAUGACGCAAGGGGAGCGGAUUUGGACUGUCGCAGGGAGCCCGGAAUGUGAGGCCUGAGUCUCAGAGGAAAAACCACAUGGCUGUUAUUACAGGAAAGUUAUGAUUCAGUUUCAGGUUGGGAGGAUUGCACAAAAAGCAGAAUCUUCCGUGCUGUAAUGCGAAAGAUGCGCAGCACCAACUUAAUUAAACUGAACAUUUUAAAGGAUGGAAUAAAUGCAUUAUUUUAUAAAUUAAGAUUUUGUAACAAAUUGAUUAAAGCACAGGUCGGCAUAAGAAGG